This is an RNA transcript of Impatiens glandulifera, 2668 nucleotides long. It is a transcript of the gene named small G protein signaling modulator 2-like, with no coding region annotated. The transcript has 12 exons. The record is from RefSeq and is a predicted model, not a curated record. NCBI's taxonomy places the organism in Eukaryota, Viridiplantae, Streptophyta, Magnoliopsida, Ericales, Balsaminaceae.
AUUCAAGCAAGAGGACCAGCCAUUGAGCCAGAGCAAGAGAGGAACAACCAUCCCCUCUCUCCCUCUCUCUCUAUGCGUGGGUGUUGAGUGUGUUAUGCCAAUGGGAGCUCGUCAAUCGAUCUCUGCUUUAAGGAGAUAAUAAUAUGAUCACGUCUGUAAUUUCUAAACGCUCCGCCAUGAAACAAGAGUGGUUAGAUAUGAACUUGUGGUAGUGGUGGGAAAUAAAUUGAUCUGUGGCUGGAUUGUCUGCUGAUGUCUUUUGACGACAAUCACAAGAAGCAAUGGGUUUGUGGCAAUUGCAGCACAGUGUAUCUGCAUCGAGUCAGUUCAAUUGUUUGGGACAUUGGAGAACCGUGUCUUCAUCAAUCACCAAUAAAGGUUGUCAGAGCUAUAAGCAGAAUGCUUAAGCCGGACAAGUGGCAGUCUACAUUUGAUAGUGAUGGGAAAGUUUUUGGUUUUCAGAAAAUACUUAAAUCCAUUAUUGUUGGGGGAAUUGAUCCAUCUGUAAGGGCAGAAGUAUGGGAGUUUCUUCUUGGAUGUUAUACUUUGAGCAGCACCACAGAGUAUAGAACACAGUUGAGAACUGCCCGGAGAGAAAGGUAUAGGGAUCUCGUCAAGCAAUGUCAGGCCAUGCAUUCCAGCGUAGGGACUGGAUCUCUUGCAUAUGUUGUGGGCUCAAAGAUAAUGGAUAUGAGGAAAAUAUCCAGAGACAGUGGAAGAAGGGAUAUGGAAAUGAAAAGCAACGCAUCAGAUGAUGAGACUGACAAAUUAGAGAAAUAUUGUGAUUGGGGUAACAAUGUUACAGUUCCGGCAUAUGAUGUUAGGGAAAGCUCUAGUGACUCUGCUGAUCUAGUCAGUGUUAGGCAAAGCAUGGAUUGUGCAGCCUACGAUUCCUCUUGUUUUAUGCCACCUUCAGGUCCAUACAAUCAAAGUUGUUCAAAACCUAAGAAUGAUUUGGAUAUGGAUAGUUUUGAUUUUCCUAUGUUGCCAGUUACCAAUUUGUUUGAGAAAGUAGGCAAAGAUAAGGGACCUGACAAUAGGAACUACAGUCGUCGAGAAUUACAAUUUGACGACGAGCAUAUGCACAAUUUUCAAAUAGACAGCAAUAUAGAUCUAGUAAUGGAAUCAAACACUUCAUGUUUUGCCUGUUCUUCACAUGUCAUCGAUUCUGAAAUUCAACAACCAAUAUCUGGUGUGUCUGAAAUGCCAUUUGCAGAAUCUAAGGACGACAGAGUAUCCGAUUGGCUAUGGACUUUGCAUGGAAUAGUUGUUGAUGUGGUUAGAACAGAUUGCAAUCUUGAAUUCUACGAGGAUAAGAAGAAUUUUGCUCGAAUGUCAGAUAUUCUUGCUGUGUAUGCUUGGGUGGACCCCGCUACAGGAUAUUGCCAAGGCAUGAGUGAUUUGCUCUCUCCAUUUGUUUUCUUAUUUGAGGACGAUGCUGAUGCUUUUUGGUGCUUUGAGAUGCUUAUUAGAAGAACGCGUGAAAAUUUUCAAAGAGAAGGUCCAACAGGUGUGAUCAAGCAGUUACAAGUUCUGUGGCAAAUUCUGGAACUAACCGAUAGAGAAAUGUAUUCUCACCUUUCACGUAUUGGUGCUGAAAGCCUUCACUUUGCCUUUCGGAUGCUGCUAGUACUUUUCCGGCGUGAAUUAUCUUUCAAUGAGGCUCUUUGCAUGUGGGAGAUGAUGUGGGCUGCUGACUUUGAUGAAUCUCUGAUGCACCAUUUAAAGGAGAACUGUUUGGAGCCAUUGAUCAUACAGAUUCCCAUGGAGCCAAUUGCGGAGAUUCAAGAAGAAGGCACUUUGAACUACAAUAGUAACCUAAAAGGCGACUCACAAUCAAAUCAUGGAGAUGUGAAUGAUAACAGUAGCGUGAAAAGUGGGUCCCAUUCAAAUCAUGUCAAUGUGAAUGACUACAGUCAUGCGAAAAGUGGGUCACAUUCACAUUCUGGAAGUAUUGAAGGCCCCAACUCUGAUCAUGCCGUAGUUAAACAUCAUUUGACUCGCCCAUUUUGUGGAUUGACACAAAACUUCUGGUCGAAAAACGACAGGUUUCAUACAUGCACCAUAAUAGCAUCCAGGAAUUGUGACGAAGAGUUGCCUGUCUUUUGUGUGGCUGCAAUUCUAUUCCUAAACCGCCAUAAAAUUAUAAGAGAGACUCGUUCUAUGGAUGAUCUGAUAAAGAUAUUCAAUGAUAGGUUGUUCAAGUUCACAGUGAAGAGAUGUAUACGUACAGCCGUCAAACUCCGCAAGAAAUACUUUUAUAAGAUGAACAAGAACAGGAAUCCAGUGGAUUGGGAUGACGAAUAAGUAUCGUUUUGUUGCAUAGUCCUAAAGCUAUCCAUCCGAAGUUAACUCCAAUUGGCAGCCAAGAUUCAAAGUUUUAAGUGCACAAUAGCACCUUACUUAUAAUAGUACAGCAAGUGAUCAUAUGAUGUUUGACAAUUCUUCCACAACUGUUCUAAAUAAAUUCAAUUCAAAUGGCAUGAAGCAAGUGAUGAGAUCUUUCUUUCUCUCGGCCUGCUCGGAACAGUUCUUGAUUUGAUUUCAUCUUUUUUCAUCCCCCUUUUAUGGGUUUUUACCAUCGGGGUUAUACAUGUAAGACCUUCUUACUAAUAUACGACACGAUUUUUAAGGUUCUAUCUCAUAUUUUUUUUUUUACUUUUGUUGA